UCCAGACUCCUACGGGAGGCAGCAGUGAGGAAUAUUGGUCAAUGGGCGGGAGCCUGAACCAGCCAAGUCGCGUGAGGGACGACGGUCCUAUGGAUUGUAAACCUCUUUUGUCGGGGAACAAAGGCGGGGACGUGUCCCCGGAUGAGUGUACCUGAAGAAAAAGCAUCGGCUAACUCCGUGCCAGCAGCCGCGGUAAUACGGAGGAUGCGAGCGUUAUCCGGAUUUAUUGGGUUUAAAGGGUGCGCAGGCGGUCUUUUAAGCCAGCGGUCAAACCCCGGGGCUCACCUCCGGCCCGCCGUUGAAACUGGCAGUCUCGAGUUGGAGAGAAGUAUGCGGAAUGCGCGGUGUAGCGGUGAAAUGCAUAGAUAUCGCGCAGAACUCCGAUUGCGAAGGCAGCAUGCCGGCUCCACACUGACGCUGAGGCACGAAAGCGUGGGUAUCGAACAGGAUUAGAUACCCCUGUACG
This 466-nucleotide ribosomal RNA is filed under the name uncultured bacterium. Its description in RNAcentral is "bacterial SSU rRNA". It matches the Rfam family "Bacterial small subunit ribosomal RNA", at positions 330 to 793 of the family's 1533-position model. The record is from RNAcentral.